GACGAACGCUGGCGGCGUGCCUAAUACAUGCAAGUUGAGCGCUGAAGGUUGGUACUUGUACCGACUGGAUGAGCAGCGAACGGGUGAGUAACGCGUGGGGAAUCUGCCUUUGAGCGGGGGACAACAUUUAGAAACGAAUGCUAAUACCGCAUAAAAACUUUAAACACAAGUUUUAAGUUUGAAAGAUGCAAUUGCAUCACUCAAAGAUGAUCCCGCGUUGUAUUAGCUAGUUGGUGAGGUAAAGGCUCACCAAGGCGAUGAUACAUAGCCGACCUGAGAGGGUGAUCGGCCACAGUGGGACUGAGACACGGCCCAAACUCCUACGGGAGGCAGCAGUAGGGAAUCUUCGGCAAUGGACGAAAGUCUGACCGAGCAACGCCGCGUGAGUGAAGAAGGUUUUCGGAUCGUAAAACUCUGUUGGUAGAGAAGAACGUUGGUGAGAGUGGAAAGCUCAUCAAGUGACGGUAACUACCCAGAAAGGGACGGCUAACUACGUG
RNAcentral lists this ribosomal RNA (497 nucleotides) under uncultured bacterium. Its description in RNAcentral is "partial 16S ribosomal RNA". It matches the Rfam family "Bacterial small subunit ribosomal RNA", at positions 28 to 507 of the family's 1533-position model. The record is from RNAcentral.